GACACACACACACACACACUCACGCACUCACACACACACACACACACACAGACACUCGCACACUCCACUUUGAGUGAUGUUUAGUGUCAGCAGCCCCAGGUCUGCUGAUUAGUUUGUUAAGAAGGAUAUUUCCUUUUCUUUCUUUUGAUCGUUUUCUGUUUUGUUUCUCUCUCUUUCUCUCUCUUUCUCUCCUCUCUUUCUCUCCUCUCUUUCUCUCCUCUCUUUCUCUCCUCUGUUCUCCUCUCUUUCUCUCCUCUCUUUCUCGCUGUACUCAGGUGAAUGUUUUUGGUGUUGUCUCAGAACUCGGCAGAAGUUUGUUUGUUUUUUGUUGGAAAUCAAACGGAACGCAGUCGAACUUUCAGUCUGAUCUGAAAGGUUUAUUAAUAGAUCUCAUGUUUAUUCUGCAUGCUUCUGCAUUUCAUUUGUGUAUGUUGGGGUGUGUGUGUGUGUAGAGGUGUGUGUGUGUGUGUAGAGGUGUGUGUGUGUGUGUGUAGAGGUGUGUGUGUGUGUGUGUAGAGGUGUGUGUGUGUGUGUGUAGAGGUGUGUGUGUGUGUGUGUAGAGGUGUGUGUGUGUGUGUAGAGGUGUGUGUGUGUGUGUAGAGGUGUGUGUGUGUGUGUAGAGGUGUGUGUGUGUGUGUAGAGGUGUGUGUGUGUGUGUAGAGGUGUGUGUGUGUGUGUAGAGGUGUGUGUGUGUGUGUAGAGGUGUGUGUGUGUGUGUGUAGAGGUGUGUGUGUGUGUGUGUAGAGGUGUGUGUGUGUGUAGAGGUGUGUGUGUGUGUAGAGGUGUGUGUGUGUGUAGAGGUGUGUGUGUGUGUAGAGGUGUGUGUGUGUGUGUGUAGAGGUGUGUGUAGGUGUGUGUGUGUAGAGGUGUGUGUGUGUAGAGGUGUGUGUGUGUGUGUGUGUGUGUGUAGAGGUGUGUGUGUGUAGAGGUGUGUGUGUGUGUGUAGAGGUGUGUGUGUGUGUAGAGGUGUGUGUGUGUGUAGAGGUGUGUGUGUGUGUAGAGGUGUGUGUGUGUGUAGAGGUGUGUGUGUGUGUAGAGGUGUGUGUGUAGAGGUGUGUGUGUAGAGGUGUGUGUGUAGAGGUGUGUGUGUGUAGAGGUGUGUGUGUGUAGAGGUGUGUGUGUGUAGAGGUGUGUGUGUGUAGAGGUGUGUGUGUGUAGAGGUGUGUGUGUGUGUAGAGGUGUGUGUGUGUGUGUGUGUGUAGAGGUGUGUGUGUGUGUGUGUGUAGAGGUGUGUGUGUGUGUGUGUGUAGAGGUGUGUGUGUGUGUGUGUGUAGAGGUGUGUGUGUGUGUGUGUAGAGGUGUGUGUGUGUGUAGAGGUGUGUGUGUGUAGAGGUGUGUGUGUGUAGAGGUGUGUGUGUGUAGAGGUGUGUGUGUGUAGAGGUGUGUGUGUGUAGAGGUGUGUGUGUGUGUGUAGAGGUGUGUGUGUGUGUGUGUAGAGGUGUGUGUGUGUGUGUGUAGAGGUGUGUGUGUGUGUGUGUGUAGAGGUGUGUGUGUGUGUGUGUAGAGGUGUGUGUGUGUGUGUGUAGAGGUGUGUGUGUGUGUGUGUAGAGGUGUGUGUGUGUGUAGAGGUGUGUGUGUGUGUAGAGGUGUGUGUGUGUAGAGGUGUGUGUGUAGAGGUGUGUGUGUGUGUAGAGGUGUGUGUGUGUGUUGGUGUGCGUGUAGAGGUGUGUGUGUGUUGGUAUGCGUGUAGAGGUGUGUGUAGAGGUGUGUGUGUGUGUGUAGAGGUGUGUGUGUGUAGAGGUGUGUGUGUUGGUGUGUUGGUGUGUGUGUAGAGGUGUGUGUGUUGGUGUGCGUGUAGAGGUGUGUGUGUGUGUGUGUGUUGAUUAGAAGAAGCUUUUGUUUGCCAUAUGUACAUUUGUUUGUUUUGAUGUGUGUGUGUGUGUGUGUGUGUGCGC
Molecule: long non-coding RNA, 1895 nt
Organism: Ictalurus punctatus (channel catfish)
Lineage: Eukaryota; Metazoa; Chordata; Actinopteri; Siluriformes; Ictaluridae
Exons: 3
Source: RefSeq, a predicted model, not a curated record